RNAcentral lists this long non-coding RNA (843 nucleotides) under Equus caballus (horse). Its description in RNAcentral is "lncRNA (ENSECAG00000047326.1)". Lineage: Eukaryota; Metazoa; Chordata; Mammalia; Perissodactyla; Equidae. The record is from RNAcentral.
CUGGAGUUGGGCUGGGUGUGUUACCGGAUCCUCAUUGCAACCCUGCAGAAGUAGGCACAACUGUCUCCAUCUCCUGGGUGAGGAAAUUGGGGCUCAGGGAGGUCACAUCACUUGCCCAGGGUCAUCCAACCGCAGGUAAAUGGAUAAACCAACUGAGUAUAUCCCUCCCGAGGACUACUUACUACUCAGCAACACAAAGAGAUGAGACAGUGAUACAGGCAGCCUGGACAAGAGGCAAAUCAUCAUGAGCUUCCAGCCGACAAGUCAGACUUCCUGGCGGUGGCAGCAGCAGCCCCAGCAGGAGGGAGGAGGAGCAGAGGCCUGCAGGAGUGUGCUGAGGCAAAGGUGGCACAGGUACCACCUGUCCACUUGGCUCCUCUACCUCCCAACAGCUGAGGAACCUCAGAAGAUCCAAGCCCCUCCUCCAGGACCCCUCCUCCCCCAGGGCUGGCUCCAGCCUCUAAGUGGAGGUGGGCAAGUGAAUAGACUCCCAGGAUGCUGGGGCCAGCUUUCUGCCCAGACCAGGCUGCUGUCAUACUGCUCCCACUUCAAGCAUCAAAAACGAACAGCAGCUGCCUUCACUCCAUCCUGCUCUGGGUGUUAAGAUGGACCCUGUAUCUACCAUACCUGGCCCCGCGUUUUACAGUCGAUCUCUUCAUCUGCAUCCUGAACCUAAGAAGCAGUUAAAAUCAUGCCCACUCUACAAAUGAGGGCUCCACACUUCAGCUAGGCCAGUGGGCUUGUCUAAAUUCCCACAACUAAAAUGCUCAGAUGAGGGAGCUUCGGCUUCUAAGCCAGGCUCAAGAAGGGCCCAGAAAGCGUGAGGGCUAGACGGAUCUUCAC